Molecule: unclassified non-coding RNA, 188 nt
Filed under: Glomus sp.
Lineage: Eukaryota; Fungi; Glomeromycota; Glomeromycetes; Glomerales; Glomeraceae
Description: partial contains 5.8S ribosomal RNA and internal transcribed spacer 2
Rfam family: 5.8S ribosomal RNA (bases 1-65)
Source: RNAcentral
GUGAAUCAUCGAAUUUUUGAACGCAAAUUGCACUCUCCUCGGAGAGGAUGACUGUUUGAGGGUCAGGCUAUAAAAUAUCGACAUCGUUGCUGUUUCGCGGUAGCGUUCGUCGGCAAUUGGGUCAUCUUAAAUCCUUUUGAUUUAUGCGACUUAAAAUAUUCACUUGGUUUCAUGAAUUUUUCUAAGAU